RNAcentral lists this ribosomal RNA (253 nucleotides) under uncultured bacterium. RNAcentral's name for it is "partial 16S ribosomal RNA". It matches the Rfam family "Bacterial small subunit ribosomal RNA", at positions 524 to 776 of the family's 1533-position model. The record is from RNAcentral.
UACGGAGGGCGCAAGCGUUGUUCGGAAUCAUUGGGCGUAAAGCGCGUGUAGGCGGCUUGGCAAGUCGGGUGUGAAAUCCCGGGGCCCAACCCCGGAACUGCAUUCGAAACUGCCUCGCUAGAGUCCCGGAGAGGAAGGCGGAAUUCCCGGUGUAGAGGUGAAAUUCGUAGAUAUCGGGAGGAACACCAGCGGCGAAGGCGGCCUUCUGGACGGUGACUGACGCUCAGACGAGAAAGCGUGGGGAGCAAACAGG